RNAcentral lists this ribosomal RNA (828 nucleotides) under uncultured bacterium. Its description in RNAcentral is "bacterial SSU rRNA". It matches the Rfam family "Bacterial small subunit ribosomal RNA", at positions 78 to 918 of the family's 1533-position model. The record is from RNAcentral.
GCUUGCUCUGUGGGAUCAGUGGCGAACGGGUGAGUAACACGUGAGCAACCUGCCCCUGACUCUGGGAUAAGCGCUGGAAACGGCGUCUAAUACUGGAUAUGUGACGUGACCGCAUGGUCUGCGUCUGGAAAGAAUUUCGGUUGGGGAUGGGCUCGCGGCCUAUCAGCUUGUUGGUGAGGUAAUGGCUCACCAAGGCGUCGACGGGUAGCCGGCCUGAGAGGGUGACCGGCCACACUGGGACUGAGACACGGCCCAGACUCCUACGGGAGGCAGCAGUGGGGAAUAUUGCACAAUGGGCGCAAGCCUGAUGCAGCAACGCCGCGUGAGGGACGACGGCCUUCGGGUUGUAAACCUCUUUUAGCAGGGAAGAAGCGAAAGUGACGGUACCUGCAGAAAAAGCGCCGGCUAACUACGUGCCAGCAGCCGCGGUAAUACGUAGGGCGCAAGCGUUAUCCGGAAUUAUUGGGCGUAAAGAGCUCGUAGGCGGUUUGUCGCGUCUGCUGUGAAAUCCGGAGGCUCCACCUCCGGCCUGCAGUGGGUACGGGCAGACUAGAGUGCGGUAGGGGAGAUUGGAAUUCCUGGUGUAGCGGUGGAAUGCGCAGAUAUCAGGAGGAACACCGAUGGCGAAGGCAGAUCUCUGGGCCGUAACUGACGCUGAGGAGCGAAAGGGUGGGGAGCAAACAGGCUUAGAUACCCUGGUAGUCCACCCCGUAAACGUUGGGAACUAGUUGUGGGGUCCAUUCCACGGAUUCCGUGACGCAGCUAACGCAUUAAGUUCCCCGCCUGGGGAGUACGGCCGCAAGGCUAAAACUCAAGGAAUUGACGGGG